UGCAAAGCCUGAAGUGACGCAGGUGGAUGUACGUGCAUCACCUCAGGCUGUCAGACUGUCCAUCACACGCUGUGACCAGAAGAGAAAAACAGAGAGCAGAAAACCCGAGGAGGAAGCAGCAGUGCCCUGCCAUUCAGCUCUUGCUCUGUAGGGAAGCCAAAUACCCUUGAGCCAUGGCCACUUGCAGCUGAAGAAAAUGUGCACCAGACGGAGCUCUAAGGAGGAAUGGGAAAGCCUUCUGCCACUUACAGCAUGCCUUGCUGCUGUGAAUCAAUGGCCAAUGUCCUGUUGCUGUUACAGAUAGAUAAAAUCCAUUGCUGGCAGGAACGAGCCUUCAGUUUUCAGGACCAGUAGGAGACCCCAACUUCAGCUGCAAACAACGUGCAGAGUUUUGAUGCUGGUGGCUGGAAGACUACAAGAAACGAGUUAAUAAAGAGCUGUCAUCAGCAUAACCAGG
This is a non-coding RNA of Anas platyrhynchos (mallard), 457 nucleotides long. NCBI's taxonomy places the organism in Eukaryota, Metazoa, Chordata, Aves, Anseriformes, Anatidae. The record is from RefSeq and is a predicted model, not a curated record.